UACGAAGGGGGCUAGCGUUGCUCGGAAUCACUGGGCGUAAAGCGCACGUAGGCGGCUUGUUAAGUCAGGGGUGAAAUCCUGGAGCUCAACUCCAGAACUGCCUUUGAUACUGGCGAGCUUGAGUCCGGGAGAGGAGACUGGAAUUUACGGUGUAGCGGUGAAAUGCGUAGAUAUCGUAAGGAAGACCAGUGGCGAAGGCGGGUCUCUGGACAGUUCCUGACGCUGAGGCACGAAGGUCAGGGGAGCAAACGGG
RNAcentral lists this ribosomal RNA (253 nucleotides) under uncultured bacterium. RNAcentral describes it as "partial 16S ribosomal RNA". It matches the Rfam family "Bacterial small subunit ribosomal RNA", at positions 524 to 776 of the family's 1533-position model. The record is from RNAcentral.